AAUAAUACUCAGGUAGUCCACGCCGUAAACGAUGAGUGCUAAGUGUUAGAGGGUUUCCGCCCUUUAGUGCUGAAGUUAACGCAUUAAGCACUCCGCCUGGGGAGUACGGUCGCAAGACUGAAACUCAAAGGAAUUGACGGGGGCCCGCACAAGCGGUGGAGCAUGUGGUUUAACUCGAAGCAACGCGAAGAACCUUACCAGGUCUUGACAUCCUCUGACAACCCUAGAGAUAGGGCUUUCCCUUCGGGGACAGAGUGACAGGUGGUGCAUGGUUGUCGUCAGCUCGUGUCGUGAGAUGUUGGGUUAAGUCCCGCAACGAGCGCAACCCUUGAUCUUAGUUGCCAGCAUUUAGUUGGGCACUCUAAGGUGACUGCCGGUGACAAACCGGAGGAAGGUGGGGAUGACGUCAAAUCAUCAUGCCCCUUAUGACCUGGGCUACACACGUGCUACAAUGGACGGUACAAAGAGUCGCAAGACCGCGAGGUGGAGCUAAUCUCAUAAAACCGUUCUCAGUUCGAAUUGUAGGCUGC
Molecule: ribosomal RNA, 530 nt
Filed under: uncultured bacterium
Lineage: Bacteria
Description: bacterial SSU rRNA
Rfam family: Bacterial small subunit ribosomal RNA
Source: RNAcentral